RNAcentral lists this ribosomal RNA (505 nucleotides) under uncultured bacterium. Its description in RNAcentral is "partial 16S ribosomal RNA". It matches the Rfam family "Bacterial small subunit ribosomal RNA", at positions 28 to 507 of the family's 1533-position model. The record is from RNAcentral.
GACGAACGCUGGCGGCGUGCCUAAUACAUGCAAGUCGAACGCACAGUUUAUACCGUAGCUUGCUACACCAUAGACUGUGAGUUGCGAACGGGUGAGUAACGCGUAGGUAACCUGCCUGGUAGCGGGGGAUAACUAUUGGAAACGAUAGCUAGUACCGCAUAAUAUUGAUUAUUGCAUGAUAAUUGAUUGAAAGAUGCUAUUGCAUCACUACCAGAUGGACCUGCGUUGUAUUAGCUAGUAGGUGAGGUAACGGCUCACCUAGGCGACGAUACAUAGCCGACCUGAGAGGGUGAUCGGCCACACUGGGACUGAGACACGGCCCAGACUCCUACGGGAGGCAGCAGUAGGGAAUCUUCGGCAAUGGACGAAAGUCUGACCGAGCAACGCCGCGUGAGUGAAGAAGGUUGUCGGAUCGUAAAGCUCUGUUGUAAGAGAAGAACGGGUGUGAGAGUGGAAAGUUCACACUGUGACGGUAGCUUACCAGAAAGGGACGGCUAACUACGUG